UAAGGGAUAUUGCGACAAUGGGCGAAAGCCUGACGCAGCAACGCCGCGUGCGGGAGGAAGGCCUUCGGGUUGUAAACCGCUUUUGAGGGGGAAGAGGAAGGACGGUACCCUUCGAAUAAGUCUCGGCUAACUACGUGCCAGCAGCCGCGGUAAAACGUAGGAGGCGAGCGUUAUCCGGAUUUACUGGGUGUAAAGCGCGUGUAGGCGGCAGUGCAAGUUGUCUGUGAAAGCGCCCGGCUCAACCGGGCGAGGACGGGCAAGACUGCGCAGCUAGAGGCAGGUAGAGGUGUGUGGAAUUCCGGGUGUAGUGGUGAAAUGCGUAGAGAUCCGGAGGAACACCAGUGGCGAAGGCGACACACUGGGCCUGACCUGACGCUCAGACGCGAAAGCAUGGGGAGCAAA
RNAcentral lists this ribosomal RNA (402 nucleotides) under uncultured bacterium. RNAcentral describes it as "bacterial SSU rRNA". It matches the Rfam family "Bacterial small subunit ribosomal RNA", at positions 355 to 772 of the family's 1533-position model. The record is from RNAcentral.